AGACCUUGACAGUUGUAACCGAUAGACUGGGCUGGGGCAACGCUGAUGAAAGGCAAAUUCCUGAGAGAAAAAUCACCCAGAUUUUUCAGUGCCUUCUCUAGCUUUCUAGAAGUUGUUAUGAGUGGACCUGACUACCUAGAGAGAGUAAUACAGAAGCUCCGUGCCGAUCACAGCUACCUCAUUACCAUGUUCCUCCAAGAUGGCCGCCCCUGAGGAGAAUCAUCAACUGGGCUUUACGGAAGAGAGAAAUCCAAACGACCAUCAGCAACAAAUGAAAGACUGAAGUUGAAAGGCAAGUCUUCAGAUUUGAAGAAAUCCAUAAUUUUUGAAUGCUGGCCGAGGUCUGUGACCUCUGACUGAAUGGUUUCCAAGCUCCGAAUUCCUAGGUGAUGUUUUCAUUUGUUCACACUUGCUGAAGAAGGGAAAGGCUCUCUGAUUUACGUGUAAGCAAAACAAUCUAAACAGUAGGAUAAAAUCAUGUUGGAAUGGAGUUCUGUGUGGAUGCUCCUUUGAACCAAAUCAGUUCCACAACUGACCCUGUCAGGGACAUAUAAAUUUAGCAUUUUGGUGUGGAUACAGAAGACGAGAUUAACACAGAUCAAGUAACAUGGAAAUAAAAAAGGAGACAAUGCUGGAUGAUACAGGGGCAGCCAACAAGAGGAGAAAACCCAAGCAUUGGCAAAUGCCUCAUUAUCCAAAGAACACUGAGGUGUGGAGCAAAACUGUGUUGAAUGAACUGUAGAUGGAAAUUCUCUCCUUCCCACCGAGGAGCCGCUGCAGGUUGCAGACUCCCAGAAUGCCACACUGAGAAGAGGAGGGCUAAAAUUCUAGAGCAGAAUCCCUGGGGCAGCCCCUGCUGAAGAAGGGUGCAUCUGUUGAGAAUCUCAUCACCGCCCCCACCCCGCCCAGCCUUCAAUUUAGAGGAAUUUCUAGUUCACGCAGAAUGAAGACAAGAUCACAUAAGGGCCUCAGAGUAUGUCAGCUGGGGUCAGACGGGAACAGGAGUCUGGCUCAACACACAUUUAUUGCACUCCUGUUUCAUGCCAAGAAAUGUACCAAAAUCUGGGACUGUGUAACACAGCAAAGGAAAAGACUCAUCUCCAGGAAGCCCCCUUGUCUAGGAAGAGAAAUUGAAUAUCAGCAUAAGGUGGUGAAAAGCUGUGAAGGAGAUGAGUGCCAGGAGUCCAUGGAGGAAGGAUUCUAGCCUGGACAGGUGAGGAAUGGCUUUCUGGAAGAAGCAGAUGCCCCAGCUGAACUUUAAAAUGCCCAUGUGAAAUGAACUGUCUGUAUCUUCAAUCAGCAAAUGGAGUAGGUGGCCACUGUUUAAUUCUGGAAUGGGGAAGUGUAAAGGUGUGGUGUGUGUGUUUACCCCUACUUAGGGAUUCAAAACAGACAGUAAAGAACAAAAGUCUAGCCCUUUGAGCAUUCUCCAUGGGACAUUUGAGGUCUAGCUGGCCCCAGAGAAAGAGAGACAGAAGCAAGGUCAUAUCCAUUUGAGAAAAUCAAAGUGUCUGCUCCAAUUGAGUCUGGUGUCCUUAUUCCUGGAAUAGCCAUCCCUACUGCUCUGGUGCUGAUUUACCUCCGGCAGUUCAGUGCUUCCUGGAAGGUAGGCUGGGCUUUUUAACAAAGUGACUCCUUACUUGACAUGUUUUACCCAAACACAGAGGCCACUGCACUAUGUGCAAGAAACAACAAAAAAUUAAAUGAGACUCAAUGCCUUCCUUAGGGAUCUAAAACCCCAGUAACACAGAUAAACAGGUAAACAAAU
Molecule: long non-coding RNA, 1768 nt
Organism: Homo sapiens (human)
Lineage: Eukaryota; Metazoa; Chordata; Mammalia; Primates; Hominidae
Product: long intergenic non-protein coding RNA 1206
Source: Ensembl